Molecule: ribosomal RNA, 1237 nt
Filed under: Salmonella enterica
Lineage: Bacteria; Pseudomonadati; Pseudomonadota; Gammaproteobacteria; Enterobacterales; Enterobacteriaceae
Description: partial 23S ribosomal RNA
Rfam family: Bacterial large subunit ribosomal RNA
Source: RNAcentral
CUAGUACUCCUAUCUGUUAAGGAUAGGUAGAGGAAGACGCAGUGAACUGAAACAUCUAAGUAGCUGCAGGAAGAGAAAGCAAAAGCGAUUGCCUGAGUAGCGGCGAGCGAAACGGCAGGAGGGCAAACCGAAGAGUUUACUCUUCGGGGUUGUAGGACUGCAAUGUGGACUUAAAGAAUAUAGAAGAAUGACAUGGGAAGGUCAGCCAAAGAGAGUAAGAGCCUCGUAUUCGAAAUAGUCUUUAUACCUAGCAGUAUCCUGAGUACGGCGGGACACGAGAAAUCCCGUCGGAAUCUGGGAGGACCAUCUCCCAACCCUAAAUACUCUCUAGUGACCGAUAGUGAACCAGUACCGUGAGGGAAAGGUGAAAAGCACCCCGGGAGGGGAGUGAAAUAGAACCUGAAACCGUGUGCCUACAACAAGUUCGAGCCCGUUAAUGGGUGAGAGCGUGCCUUUUGUAGAAUGAACCGGCGAGUUACGAUAUGAUGCGAGGUUAAGUUGAAGAGACGGAGCCGUAGGGAAACCGAGUCUGAAUAGGGCGUCUUAGUAUUAUGUCGUAGACCCGAAACCAUGUGACCUACCCAUGAGCAGGUUGAAGGUGAGGUAAAACUCACUGGAGGACCGAACCAGGGCACGUUGAAAAGUGCUUGGAUGACUUGUGGGUAGCGGAGAAAUUCCAAACGAACUUGGAGAUAGCUGGUUCUCUCCGAAAUAGCUUUAGGGCUAGCGUCGACAUUAAGAUUCUUGGAGGUAGAGCACUGUUUGGGUGAGGGGUCCAUCCCGGAUUACCAAUCUCAGAUAAACUCCGAAUGCCAAUGAAUUAUGGUCGGCAGUCAGACUGCGAGUGCUAAGAUCCGUAGUCGAAAGGGAAACAGCCCAGACCACCAGCUAAGGUCCCAAAAUAAUUGUUAAGUGGAAAAGGAUGUGGGGUUGCACAGACAACUAGGAUGUUAGCUUAGAAGCAGCUAUUCAUUCAAAGAGUGCGUAAUAGCUCACUAGUCGAGUGACCCUGCGCCGAAAAUGUACCGGGGCUAAAACAUAUUACCGAAGCUGUGGAUACCUUUAUAGGUAUGGUAGGAGAGCGUUCUAUGUGUGGAGAAGGUGUACCGUGAGGAGCGCUGGAACGCAUAGAAGUGAGAAUGCCGGUAUGAGUAGCGAAAGACAGGUGAGAAUCCUGUCCACCGUAAGACUAAGGUUUCCAGGGGAAGGCUCGUCCGCCCUGGGUUAGUCGGGACCU